Molecule: ribosomal RNA, 473 nt
Filed under: uncultured bacterium
Lineage: Bacteria
Description: bacterial SSU rRNA
Rfam family: Bacterial small subunit ribosomal RNA
Source: RNAcentral
ACUCCUACGGGAGGCAGCAGUGGGGAAUAUUGCACAAUGGGCGCAAGCCUGAUGCAGCCAUGCCGCGUGUAUGAAGAAGGCCUUCGGGUUGUAAAGUACUUUCAGCAGUGAGGAAGGUGGGUAUGUUAAUAGCAUAUUCAUUUGACGUUAGCUGCAGAAGAAGCACCGGCUAACUCCGUGCCAGCAGCCGCGGUAAUACGGAGGGUGCGAGCGUUAAUCGGAAUUACUGGGCGUAAAGCGCAUGCAGGUGGUUUGUUAAGUCAGAUGUGAAAGCCCGGGGCUCAACCUCGGAAUUGCAUUUGAAACUGGCAAACUAGAGUACUGUAGAGGGGGGUAGAAUUUCAGGUGUAGCGGUGAAAUGCGUAGAGAUCUGAAGGAAUACCGGUGGCGAAGGCGGCCCCCUGGACAGAUACUGACACUCAGAUAGCGAAAGCGUGGGGAGCAAACGAGGAUUAGAUACCCUGGUAGGCUCU